AAUGGCCGCCCAAACUUACUUUCAUCUUCACUCUCUUCGAUGUCUUCCAGUUCCACUCAAGAUCCAAAACCCACAAAAUCAAACCCAUCGUUUCAAACGAAAUCCAGUCGUCUGCAAGCUUCGAGUAGCUGUAAUCGGCGGCGGUCCAGCUGGAUCUUCAGCUGCAGAAGCUUUAGCCACCGGCGGAAUCGAAACUUUCCUCUUUGAACGAAGCCCAGCUACAGCCAAGCCAUGCGGCGGUGCCAUUCCACUAUGCAUGCUCGACGAAUUCUCAAUACCAUUAAAUCUCAUCGAUCGCCGUGUCAGUCAGAUGCGAAUCGUUUCUCCAUCAAAUCUCGUCGUCGAUUUCGGUAAAACCCUAAAACCCCAUGAAUUCAUCGCAAUGCUCCGGCGAGAAGUGCUCGAUUCAUUCCUCCGGCAGCGGGCUGAAUCUAGCGGCGCCAAUCUUCUCAAAGCACUGGUCACCAACCUCGUGGUCCCCACAUCCUCACUCGAGCCGUACGUCAUUCACUACACCAUGGAUAACUGCCAGCAUCAGCUCGCCGUCGAUGCCAUCAUCGGCGCCGACGGAGCCAAUAGCCGUGUAGCUAAAUCGAUCAAAGCUGGAAAUUACACUACUGCCAUUGCUUUCCAAGAGAGGAUCAAAUUACCCGAGGACAAAAUGGGGUAUUACGAAAAUUUAGCUGAGAUGUACGUAGGGAAUGACGUGUCGCCCGAUUUUUACGCGUGGGUCUUUCCUAAAUGUGACCACGUGGCAGUGGGGACGGGCACGGUCUGCUCAAAGUCCAAUAUCAAAUCAUUUCAACAUGCUAUCAGAGCACGGGCCAAAUCAAAAAUCGAAGGAGGGAAAGUAAUCAAAGUAGAGGCUCAUCCCAUACCAGAGCAUCCGCGUCCCGUUAGGGUCCGUGGACGGGUCGCUCUAGUAGGGGACGCAGCCGGAUACGUAACAAAAUGUUCGGGUGAAGGAAUAUACUUUGCGGCAAAAAGCGGAAGAAUAUGUGGGGAAGCAAUAGUUAAGGCUUCAGAGGGUGGAGAUAGCAUGAUCAAUGAAGACGACCUGAAGAGGGAAUAUUUAAGGAAGUGGGAUGACAAGUAUUUCACUACAUUCAAGUUCUUGGAUGUGCUACAAAAAGUGUUUUAUGGUAAUAACGCAGCAAGAGAAGCAUUGGUGGAGUUGUGUGGAGAUGAAUAUGUACAAAGGAUGACAUUUGAUAGCUAUUUGUAU
This 1225-nucleotide unclassified non-coding RNA is filed under the name Hevea brasiliensis (rubber tree). The record is from RNAcentral. Lineage: Eukaryota; Viridiplantae; Streptophyta; Magnoliopsida; Malpighiales; Euphorbiaceae.